GUUCUUAUGACUUUUUGUUACUGUUGCUAGGUGGCAAUGAAAAAUGGGUUAAUCUGUCAUAUAAUUUUUAUUUUGUUCAUCUUAUGAUAUUGUACAGAUCACUGCAUGAACAUGUCAUCAAAAUAGUUAAUAGCUUCUAGAUAGCAAGGAAACUUAUGGAAUUAGUGGUCUGCCGUUGUGUAAGAUUUUUCUUCAGUGUUAACGGUUAGGAUUUUAAUUGUUAAGAAUUGUUUAAAACAAUUUUAUCCACAAAAGCAGUGUAUUAACAUACAUAAAAUACAUUAUGUUUAAGAGUUAAGAUUAAGAUAAAAGAGAUACCUGGAGUAUUCUAACAUAGGUUCUGAUACUAAGACAUUGAGACAUUGAGAAUGUUACAAAACAUUGGUGUACAUAAAUAUUGAACACCUGACUGCUCUCAUCCGAAUAUACUUUAAGUAUUCUUUUGAAAAAAAUAAUGCAUUUGGCUUAAAAUUAAUAAGGUUUAAUAAAAAAUUGAAGCAUAGUUGUAGGAACUAACAGCUGGUAGUAGCCACCAUUAUUUGGUAGGAAUUGGGUUCUGGUAUUAAGCUGGCAUACUAAACAUUUUUAUAAUUGGUAAGAUCUUCAGCUGGCUUUGAAGAAGAAAAAAAGAAAACCAUUGAUCCUCUUCUGAAAUUAUGACUUUAAAUUCACAAUGCUAGUGGGAGCUUGUCCGAUCAGUGUAUUUACUUAUUGUGUCCCCACAUCCCCUUUUUUGGAGGUGGGAUGGGGAGUUAGUUUUUAUGAAAUGCUUAGACUUUACAAUCAUUAUCUAAUUAGGGUUCCCAUCAGAAAAACCAGCACUCUUGAACAUUUUUAACUUGUUUAAUAGAAGUCUUUAAUUUUAAUGAGAAAGUAAAAGUAACUUUUCUCAAUGACAAUUAUUUUUAAUUAACUCACAUAUGUUCACUUUUGACCACCAAUAACAAAAAAAGUGGUACCUUUCAACUUUGUAAGGGUGUCCCUACCCUUAAAUUAGGUUCAUUCUCUCAACUGGGAACUAAUUAAAUCUCAUAAUGACCAUUUAGGAAAAAUUAGAAUGGCACAGUAAUUUCAUGAAACCUAAGUAUUUAAGAGAAUAAUUCCCCUUUGGUGGCAUAAUCUCCUUUAGAAGGACUAGUUAAUAGCUCUUACUUGUCUUAAACAGUUAAGAAUUGCAAGUCACAACUGUAAAUACCAGAAAGGGAAAGUUACUUUGCAAAGUAACCAAAUAAAUGUUAGGGGGAAGCUAAACUUUUGGGGAAAGCUUUUGAAGAUUAUAUAAAGUGAACAAUCUUAGGUAUAUAGCUCAGAACCAAGGGGAACCAUUCCUGACUUAAAUGAUUAUAAUUGCUGGGCACACUGGCACAUUCUUAUAAUUCCAGUGAUGUGGAAGGCUGAGACAGGAGGAUCUCAAGUUCCAGACCACCCUGGGUAACUUAGUGGGGCCCUAUCUCAAAAUAAAAUAUAAACUUACAUCCAGUGAGGUUAAAGCGCUCCUAGCAAUAAUUCCUUACAGUAUAGGAAAAAAAAAAGUUAAAAAAAAUUAGGUAUAUAGCUCAAUGAAUUUUUACAAAUAAACAUACUGUGUAACCAUUACCUCGUUCAAGAUACAGAACAUUUUUAGCACCCCAUAAUUUCCUCUCUUGUCCUCUCUUCCCAAAUCAUUGCUCCAUAAACCCCAAUGUCACCUCUUUCACUUUAGAGCGUUGCUCUGGCCCCCACAGUGCUAGGUUUGGAACCCAGGACCUAGCACAGGUUAGGUUGGUGCUCAAGCACAGCUUCAUACCCCAGCCUCCUUUGCCUCUUUUGAAUUUUAUAUAAUGUAUAUUCUUUGUAACUGAUUUAUUUAACAUUCAGAUACAAACUUGGUGUCACUUGAAACAAUAAUUAUUUUAGAAUGCUGC
This 1904-nucleotide long non-coding RNA is filed under the name Marmota monax (woodchuck). The record is from RNAcentral. Lineage: Eukaryota; Metazoa; Chordata; Mammalia; Rodentia; Sciuridae.